Non-coding RNA from Carica papaya (papaya), 604 nucleotides. The record is from RefSeq and is a predicted model, not a curated record. NCBI's taxonomy places the organism in Eukaryota, Viridiplantae, Streptophyta, Magnoliopsida, Brassicales, Caricaceae.
AUUGUUCCAAGCCGUGACGAGUAUUGUAGCAAUCAGCCAAGCCUACAAGGACGGGGCCAAUUGAACUCGAUUGCACCACUUCAUGAUGUUCAAUAUAUUAAUCAAGAAAGGAUGCAUGGAAUGGGGCAUUAAAAUUUCAGAUCAUAACCAUUUCCAGUUGUUUUGACAUUCAGGAUGGCUUACAAGAUAUGGGGGGCCAGUCAAAUGCGGAAACUUCUUAGUUGCAUUCCAGAAACUAUUGUUGACCGCUGUUUUCUGUCUGAUAAUUGAUAAAGGUGUCUCAUUUGGGAUUGCGGAGUAGGUUUAUAUCUUUGAUCGCUUCCUUUUGGUUCCAAGUUCCAAUUGACAUACCCAACUGCCUUUGAGAUGUUAAUAUUGUGUUCUAUGUUCUGCUUAGGACGAUGAAAGUUAAUUGCCUACAGUUCUUUAACAUGUUAGUUAACUUUUGUUAUUUUCAAACUUAGUCUUGUAUCUUUGUAUAUUAAAAAAUAACACAAACUUAAUUAGUAUUUUGUAAUUUUUCCUUCCAUUUAUGUACUAGAUGAUGAUCCGCAAUGUCUCGCAGUCCUGCAAAUUUAGAUAAUAUGGGGGUGUUUUUAUGCAA